UUUUGUAUAUAAAACAGCUUUAUUAAAAGUCAGCCCUUACAAGGAUUCUAUCAAAAUAUACACAUUUAACUGGACAUGGUGGCACAUGCCUUUAAUCCCAGCACUCAGGAGGAAGAGGCAAGUGGAAAUCUGGGUUCGAGGCCACCCUGGUCUACAAAUCGAGUUCCAGGAGAGCCAGAGCUACACAGAAACCCUGUCUUGAAAAACUAAAACUAAAACAAAAAACGUAUGUGUGAGUGUAUAUAUAUACACACACAUAUAUAUAUACAUAUUUAUACACAUUUUAAAUAAAUGUGUUAGACGAUUGACAGCUACACCAAUACACUGACCACAGACACAAUCUCAAAGGCUUUGUAGGGAAGGGAGGCUUAUUGAAGAUGCUCCAAGAACCCUAGGAAGAGGUCAGGCACAGGGGUCUUUGGGUGCUUGAGGGGUUGUGAGGUAAGGGCCCUACUUCAGUUUCUCCUUCCUUGGAAAAACGGAAAUGUGUAGGAAAGUAUAGUAAAUUUAGUCUGGAGUAGAAAGGCUCAAAAUUUAUUUCUAAGGCACCACAGCUCACUCUAGUCCUGAGGUUAAGUUACGAUGGACCAGGUGGGCUGCACAGGCCUAGCAGCCAGGAACCUGAAGUCAGUCUUUAUAUCAAACAUAUGGUUUUAAUAACACAUUGGUGUCUGGCCCUGCCAGAUAAGGAUGCCACUGGCUCCUAAGAGAGUCCACCAGUGAUAGCAGCUGGCCUCAGUGGCUGAGGAUAGAUCUAGACAGGAGGCCAGCCUGAGGGCAGUCCCAGCCACUGAGAUACGAUGAUACCUAGAGAAACUAGCAAGCCCCAGAACCAGGGGUUUCUGUGAAAGGCACUUCAAAGCUGGUGUCACUAAACCAAACUCCAGAAGCUGCUGGCCAACUAUCACUGGUGACAAGCUUCCCUGGUGACAUUGGGCAGUGGGUAAGCAAAGAGGGAGAAGUCCAGAAUAUAUUUAGGCAGCACAUCUUGAAGCAGGGCUCGUGGGGCAUUGCACAGGUGGUAAUGUAGACUUUCCGGGCUGGCCGGCCGAUACCAGGCCUGCCGAGCUGGGAACCGGACAUGGGGUGGGGCCCGCACCCACUCCAGCACCUGAUUGGCAUCAGCCUCCAGUCUCUCAUAAGAACCCACAAAGUCGUAGUGCACAGCACAUGGUUGACACAAGUGGUACACAGGCAUCCAGUGCUCAUUCAUGUGCUCAGGAUCCUCAUCCACCAGGUAUCUCAGGAACUCUGGGAAGGUGACAUCGUCCCCUGCAGGACUGGGGCCAGCUCCAGCCCUGUAGCGCCUGACAAUUUCAGCCCCAUAGCGCUGCUGGUACUCUCGGAUUUCCCCAAACUUGUUGCGGUAAGCAGACAGGAGGCGUUCCAAGGGGUCUCGCACAAACAGGAACUUGAAGUAAUGCUGCAGACGGUAGCGAAUCUCCUCAGGCCGCAGGUCUGCCAGAAACACCAGGUCACUGCGGUGGUCCAUCUUGAGGCGGACAUCCACGUUGUCCAGGACGCCCGCCAGCACCUUCAGCACGCGCUUCCAGUUAGAGCAGGCCACUUUGGGGACGUAGCAGUAGAGGAAGCGGUAGCGGUCACUUACGAGGAUGUGGCGCAGCAGGGUGCGCCGCUGUCCCACCGGCAAGUCCCAGGGGUCCCGGGGCAUGCCCGGUUGUCCGCACACUGCCCUCAAGGUCCGGUUUCGGACAUCCUCCCGCACUUGCAAGUCGGAGUCCCCAGCAUCCAAGGAUAGGCCUCCAGGCUUGGGAGCUGUCCCACGCCAGGCCGCGCCUUUGUGGCUGGGAGGGUGCAGGGGAAGGGGUUUUAUCUCCGAUAGGAUGCCCCGCUCGAUCAUGAGCAGUAGCCCGCUGGAGGCCACGAUCACUGCAAACAUCAGCAUGGACGGCAGCAGCAGGGGUGGCCCUCCGAGUCCAGCCCGGGCCCUACUCAAUGGAGACCGCCUCGGCGUGCGGCCCAGGGGCUCGGCUCCUUUCGGGGACGCCAGUGGGGUCAGAGGGCGAGGGAACAUGGUGAUCCGGGGAGACCUCGCCGAUCUCUGGGAAGGCGACUGCAGCCAGGACUGGAGAUCUCGGGAGGAGGGUUAGUGGGUGGCCAGCUCCCGGGUGCAACGAGGGACCAGGGCCGGAUGUCCCGCCCGGCCGCUCUCCACCCCGCCCCCCGCCCCGCCGUGAUACAGGCUGGGGGCGGGCCCACGUUGGGGGGGGGGCGAGGAGAGGGGAGGGUGCCUGAGUCCUAGGAGCUGUCUGGG
RNAcentral lists this long non-coding RNA (2275 nucleotides) under Cricetulus griseus (Chinese hamster). RNAcentral describes it as "lncRNA (ENSCGRG00015036450.1)". The record is from RNAcentral. Lineage: Eukaryota; Metazoa; Chordata; Mammalia; Rodentia; Cricetidae.